This is a long non-coding RNA of Papaver somniferum (opium poppy), 864 nucleotides long. RefSeq lists it as uncharacterized. The record is from RefSeq and is a predicted model, not a curated record. The transcript is spliced from 6 exons. Lineage: Eukaryota; Viridiplantae; Streptophyta; Magnoliopsida; Ranunculales; Papaveraceae.
UUUUCAUUUUCACUCAUUUAUUUUCAGACUCGUUUUUCGCUCUAUCUUUCCUUCUGAGAAAUCUCAAACCCGUAGAUCUAUUUUAUUUCCGAGAAAUCAUAGGAAUCAAAACCUUCACUUGUAACCAAAUUAAAACAUAUACUCGUAAUCAAAACCCAAAGUUGAAAAUCUAGAAAACCAAAUCAAAACCCAAAAAUAUCCAUCUAAAACCUAGAAAAUCAAUUUGUUCGUGAAAUCGAAAAUCAAUUCAUCCAUAGUUGAUUUCUUUGUUGAUUUUCAAGAGGUUUUGUAGAGUAAAAUUGCGGCUCUAAGGACUUGAAAGGUAUAUUGACAUAUUGUGCACUAAACUUGUUCAUCGCAGAGAAAGGUCAAUGGAACAAAUGCAAAGCACAUCUAAAGGUACGACAUCACAGCAAAAUAUAGGAGUUCCCAUCAAUUAUGGUGGUAACAAGCAGGUCAAAGUUACAGAACGAAGGAUGUUUCUUAGGCUUUGGGUGCUGCUAUGGAACACAUUGGAGAAGAAAACAAAUGUGAUAUCACUCUUUUGUUAUCGAAGAUAAUAAAGGAUAUGUUUGUACGAUAUGUUCGCUGAUUGGAAAAAGCAUUGAAUGAGAACCAAGACUAGCAGAACUAGCUAAUGCAUUGGAUCAAUAUUUUGGUGUGUCUGAGAUAUCAGUGCAUCCGAGGCACAUGAAGCCUCACCAAAUUCAAGGUUUCAACUUCUUGCUUAGAAACACAGUCGAUGAAGGUGAUGCCCAGUCAUUAUGUGAGGCAUUUGCAGGUCAUGUUUCUGUCUUAUCGACCAUUUUGUAUUUUCAAAUUCAGAAACUUGGGUUCUUGACAAAAGUUAGUACAAUCUUUGAG